GCCUGGGUGGCUCAGUGGGUUGAGCGUCUGACUUCAGCUCAGGUCAUGAUCUCAUGGUUCAUGAGUUCCAGCCUCACCACGGGCU
This 85-nucleotide transfer RNA is filed under the name Felis catus (domestic cat). It matches the Rfam family "tRNA". Rfam says of the family: Transfer RNA (tRNA) molecules are approximately 80 nucleotides in length. The record is from Rfam by way of RNAcentral. Lineage: Eukaryota; Metazoa; Chordata; Mammalia; Carnivora; Felidae.